AGUGGGAUUGCUGGGUCAGAGGUUUAAUUCAUAUGCAAUUUUUCUAGAAAUUGCCAAAUUUCUCUCCAAGUGGACUGCACCCUUUUGCUCUCCCACCAGUAAC
RNAcentral lists this microRNA precursor (103 nucleotides) under Marmota monax (woodchuck). The record is from RNAcentral. Lineage: Eukaryota; Metazoa; Chordata; Mammalia; Rodentia; Sciuridae.